RNAcentral lists this ribosomal RNA (242 nucleotides) under uncultured bacterium. RNAcentral's name for it is "partial 16S ribosomal RNA". It matches the Rfam family "Bacterial small subunit ribosomal RNA", at positions 110 to 353 of the family's 1533-position model. The record is from RNAcentral.
GUAAUGUCUGGGAAACUGCCUGAUGGAGGGGGAUAACUACUGGAAACGGUAGCUAAUACCGCAUAACGUCGCAAGACCAAANAGGGGGACCUUCGGGCCUCUUGCCAUCGGAUGUGCCCAGAUGGGAUUAGCUAGUAGGUGGGGUAACGGCUCACCUAGGCGACGAUCCCUAGCUGGUCUGAGAGGAUGACCAGCCACACUGGAACUGAGACACGGUCCAGACUCCUACGGGAGGCAGCAUG